AUUCCGGUGGCCUAGUGGUUAGAGCAUCCGCCUCGUAUGCAAGGGGUAGUGGGUUCGAUCCCCAGCUGUCAUA
Molecule: non-coding RNA, 73 nt
Organism: Potamilus streckersoni
Lineage: Eukaryota; Metazoa; Mollusca; Bivalvia; Unionida; Unionidae
Source: the annotation of a GenBank genome assembly